This 101-nucleotide non-coding RNA is filed under the name Clostridium saccharobutylicum. Its description in RNAcentral is "TPP sequence". It matches the Rfam family "TPP riboswitch aptamer (THI element)". Rfam says of the family: Vitamin B(1) in its active form thiamin pyrophosphate (TPP) is an essential coenzyme that is synthesised by coupling of pyrimidine and thiazole moieties in bacteria. The previously detected thiamin-regulatory element, thi box was extended, resulting in a new, highly conserved RNA secondary structure, the THI element, which is widely distributed in eubacteria and also occurs in some archaea. RNAcentral also lists the same sequence under 1 other name. Lineage: Bacteria; Bacillati; Bacillota; Clostridia; Eubacteriales; Clostridiaceae. The record is from RNAcentral.
GUAACGUGCUGGGGGAGCUAUAUGCUGAGAUUUGAUAAUUCAUAAACCCUUUAAACCUGAUCUAGUUAAUUCUAGCGUAGGGAAAGCAACCUUAUAAGAAU